AGACCGAGGAAUAACCCGGAGUAAAUUUUGGCAUGCUUUUUGGUUAUUUUUUUUCUCAGAGAUAACUGAUGCUCUCAUUUUCUCGCCCAUGAUAAGAUUUUUGUUCUACAAACUCUUUCCAUUCUUUCUCAUCGGCAACACUGAAGAAGCAUGGAGAAAAAAAAAAUUAUGCAGAAGCCUGGAUUGGAGGGAAAUUCACAGAGGAGAUCAGAGUGCAUGGUAUCCAGAUGGAGAUACGUUGGUGAGAAGCGAGUAUAAUCCCUCUACAGCCUUUGCGUACGGAUGUGAAUCAAAAUUGAUGCCAUGCUGGCAAUGAAGGGAAAGAGACAAAAAGGAGAGAUCAAUGGGUGAUAAGAUUUUGUUACUAGUUGCUAUAAAUUUGAAAGUGAGGGAAGUUUUUGUGGGUAGAGACAACAACAGACAAUAGCAAGUUUUCUGCAUAGAGAAGAGGAAUGUUGCGACAAUAACAUAGUUUGUGAAUGUGGAUAGAAGAGUAAGGAGUGCAAUGCAGUAGUACAUAGCUCCAGACAAAGAAGAGAACGUAUAGCUCUAGACAUAUAAGAUCUAGCAUAAGUAGCUUCAGACAGUUACAGAAACCAGUCAUGUACAAGAAUAAUAAAACUGCCUAUAAAACUAUUGUAAUCUUAAUUUAGAAGUUAUUUUGAAAAUUUCAGUUUUGAGUUCAAUAGAAAAUAUUUUGUCUUUAUGGUAUAUUUGUUUGAGUGCAAUCUAAGUUGAGACCCAUUGAAUCAGCUAGAAUUCAAACUUAGGAUCUUCAAUAUGAUGUUAGAGUGCUUUACCAAUUGAGCUAGUAAGCCCUCAAUGAUCAUCCCAUCAUUUAUCCAGACGUGGCUUAUUUCCAAGCCCAGACAAGGUAAAAGAAAUAAAUUGGCUAUAAGCUUCUUCCAUAAUCAAGUCCCUUUGGGUUAGCAUUUGAGCCAAAAUUAUAAUUGCAUGGAUGAGAUUCCAGAUAAUCCUAGUGCUCUAUCUCUGUGAGCAGUCAGCAUUUUAUCUUUGUGAGCAGUCAGCAUUUCAUUCCACACAUUAGCGUUGCAUUAUCCAUCUAUAUGAGUGCUAAACGAAGAAAGAUGAAUUCUUGGAAACACUACUCAUAAAUAUGGGUGGAUGUCAGAUCUAAACGAGGCAGCUGAAUCCAAAUCAUCUCACAUAUUUUAUAAUCUAAAGCUUUAUUAUUUGAAAUAAUUUAGUAUGGUGUUGCUCAAUGAAAUUGAAAGCUAUCCUAACUGAUUCGCAUUGGCUUAAAAAGAUGAUUCCAUACUGGGGUUAAACUUUAAAUUCACCACAAUAUUCUGGGAAAGCUAGUGACUAUAUUCUGAUGGUGUGAAAACAGGAUCCUAUCAAUCAAUCUAUUCCUUAUUUGUUUCCAGAGACCAAUAUUCUUGAGGCACAUAUAGUGUCCUGUCUCUGAUGAGAUUUUAGUGGCUGCUUGAUACGUAACUCUGAUACAUUUUUUGGACACAUUAAUAUGGAGCAGAAGCUAUAAUGUUGCCGGGAUCGUAUCCUACUUGUAAAAAAUGUUCCUUAGCUGAUGAGUUAUUUCAUGGAACCAUAUUUCGAAGAAACUGCUAAAUUUAAUCGGUAGCAAUGAGAGAAAAUUUUGAUGAUGUACCCUCGCAUUAAAUUAAGCUGUACCUAAUUCACCCAAUACUUUUGGCACUGCCUCUAUACUCUCCACCUAAUAUAUAAAUAACGGGCAUCCUGCCCAUUAAAUUAGACUGUGUCUGAAAAUAUAAACAGUUAAUAAAGAGAUAGUUGAAGAUAUACAGAAAUCUUAAAUCACAAUUUAAAAGAAAAUCUACCUGCUUUAUAAAUAAAUAUCCAUUGUGACUGGGAUGAUAUUGUACACAUCUGUGCAGUAUUAAUUUUGUAGCUGAAAAUAUUCUAACAUUGAGAUUAUAAAAAAUCCAGAAUCUUACAGAUUAACAAGUCUGUUCUCACUGAGAUUGGAAUCAAUUCAUCAGAACUUCAAAUAUUUUAAAAUUAUCACGAGUCUCUGCAGCUUAUAUGCUAGAGAAAAAUUAACACUUUGAAUAACAUAGGAAAUCUCCUUAAAUCCAACACAGACCAGAUGCAGGAGCAUCCUGCCGACCCAUGCCAAAAUAGGAGCUUUGAAAUGAAUCUGGACAUCCAUCAAUGCAUGACAGAGUGGGGUUUUUGUUUUCAGAUAUUAUAUUUAAAAAUACUGUGUCAGUAUAUAUGCAAAAUGUAGAAGCAUAGACCUGGCACAUAACUGUUGACAGAAUGCCUCAAGAAAUAGAUUUCUUGAAACGGCCGUUGGAGAAUAAGAAGAAUAACAGUCACUGAAAAUUUAAGAGACAGUAAAUGUUGGCAAGGCAUCGGCUAUUUGUGGGAUGACCAAAUAUAGAAUAAAAUUGGAAUAUGCAUUAAAGGAAAUGAUAAUGCCAAUAUAAAGAAAGCUCACAAAAAUACCUGGAGCAAUGUAGCCAAUAUAUUCCUUGAGAGCAAAUGUUGUUGUCUAGUGUUUAUUGUAGGUAAAGGAUCUUCAACAUCUUACUUCCCUCUAAACUAACAAGGAUCUCCACUGUUAACUUUUUGUGCUGAAGAUAAAGAUAUUAUAGCUGAUGUAGGCUAGCAAGAGAAUCUGGAAAUUUUCCACUGAGUAGAUUUGGAGUUAAACUAAGGAAAUGUAAAUUUGAGAGUUUGAUGCCAAAAUUUAUGCAAUCUGCCCACUAAGCUGGUUUUCCGAUAAUUCUAAUCUCUUCAAUUUCGAGAGAUUUGCUAAAGAGUAGGGGAUGGUGUCUUGGAGAUGAUUUCCUGACAUGGCUAAUUCUGUCAAUUUUGAGAGAUUUCCUAAAGAGGUGGGAAUGGUGCCCAAUAAGUUAUUCUUAUAAAGGUAAAGCAACUGCAGCUGAGUGAGCAUGCCCAAUUCAAGGGGAACGGUACCCUGGAGAUGGUUUUGUGACAAGUCUGAAUCAGUCAAUUUUGAGAGAUUUCUUAAAGAGCUGGGAAUAGCGCCUGAUAAGUAAUUUUGCCUGAGGCAAAGAACCUGCAGCUGAGUGAGCAUACCCAAUUCAGCGGUAACGGUACCUGUGAAGUUUUUUUUCGCAAUGGAAAUUCAACCAGAGUGGAGAAAUUUCCUAAAGAACGGGGAAUGCUGGCUGAUAAGUUAUUUGUGAAAAGAUAAAGUAAUUGAAGCUGACUGAGCAUUCCCAAUUCAGAGGGAAUGGGACGAGUGAGAAGGUUUUCUGAGAAGUCUGAUUUUGUCAAUUUUGAAAGAUUUCCUAAAGAUCUGGGAAUGAUGCCUCAUAAGUUAUUUUUAGAAAGGUAAAGAAGCUGCACAUGAGUGAGCAUGCCUAAUUCAGGGGGAAUGGUACCCUUGAGUUCAUUUUCAAACAAGGUUAAUUCUCUCAGUUUUGAGAGAUUCCCUAAAGAGCUGGGAAUGGUGCCUGAUCAGUUAUUUGUAUCAAGGUAAAGAACAUGCAGGUGAAUGAGCAUGCCCAAUUUAGGUGGAAUGGUACCUUGGAGAUGGUUUCCCAACAAGUCUAAUGCUCUCAAGUUUGAGAUAUUUUCUAGAGUAUGUUAUGAAGUAGAAUUCUACUUAUCAAUGAACUAACUUGUAGUGUAAAUCCAAGUCAAAGUUCAAAUAUUUCAGUGUAUAUUGUACUUAAAGAAGACCUGUGACCAGAUUGUCCAAACAAGGUCAAAACUUGUUCAAUUAUUAUUAUUAAGAAAAAAAGUUAGAUAGGAUGUGUUAGGCAUGUGCAACAAGGAAUGCUUAUGAUUUCAUGACUAAGUUUUUGUAUGGGUUAAAUAUAGUAAUUUGAUGCUUUUGAUAUUGGAAUUUUAAGUAAUAGCACAUCGGUUUGAUUUGUAUGGUAGCUAUCAGGACUUCUGAUGAGAACAUCCUUUAUAGGUAGUAUGUUAACUACAGUUAUAAAUCAGUCAAAUUUACAUUUAAGUAGGCUAGAGGAAGACGGAAGUAAAUUAAAAUGGAGAGAAACAGUUGGAAGUGGGUAGGUGGGAGUUGGAGCCAUUAACCCAUUAAAUGUCUUUGUAAUAUUUGUAGCCUACAAAUAUAGGAUUAUCUUAUGGAAAUAAGCAUUUAGAAAAAUAGAUAUCAUGUCAACUUAGGAGGUAAUGGUGAAUGAAAAAAUGUUGUCAUUGGAGUUAGUCAUGCCAUGUAAAAUUCAGACUUUCCAAAUUCCAACACUAGGAAAUUUCAAAUUAUUUUAUGUCCAUAUAAAAAAUGCUUUCCAAAUUUAAAGGAGCUUUGAUGGAUGAAAGCUUAAAAAGAGCAAGACGGAAGAUAUUAAGUUUGACCUUGAAAACAUCAAAGGCACUGUAAGUGGUUAACUGUAGGUUCUGCUAUUAAUAUGCUGAAGUUUUUUUAUGAUGUUUAUAGUUUUGAGUAGCAUUGAAAUGCUUUUAUUAAAUUGUGAUGUUUUGUUUCCUUCUUGGCUUCAUUUCUUUUCACAAAUUGUUGGUGCGACAAUCUCAUUCAGUUUGAAAGGGGUAGCUUUUUAUCUCUUAGAUAUUUAACAAAAGCUUUGAGUGAUGGCUAGUUCUUCAAACUUCUCUUGACAUAUUUUUGUUACCUUGGAGCAUGAUUCAUUUGUGAUCAUGCAAGUUUUAAGUAACAUUUGAGAAUUGACUUCUUUUCUGCUCAUAUUCAUAGUGCCAUCUUUGCAGUUCUUUGUGUGAUGAUAUAGGUAGAUCGAUUUGAAUAAUAUAAUUAUGCAUUACAUUUGAUAAUUAUGUUUUUUUAUGAGAAAUAUGCUACUAUUUGAAGAAAAAGGUAGUUCUUGUUUUUUCUACUUCCAUUUUCAAUGUGGAGAAACCAAAGGCAUUUCUGUUUUUUUAUUCUCAAAAUUUUAUGGACAUUAUUGAUGGUAUGUGCAUUUGACAGUCUAUUAUGUUCUUGCUCCUUUUCUCUGAUUAGUUUCUUCACAAGAAUGGUGUCUGUUUCAAAGUCUUUUCUUGCAUCAAAAUUAAUAGUUAUCUCAUCAAUUCAUAGUAAAUACAAUUUUUAUCAUUUUUCAUGAUGAUAUGUUUUAAGUUUGAACUUUCAAUAAUAAUGUUUCCAUUUAAAAGUGACAACGUAUCCAAGUUUAUAGUGCACCAUAGUUUUAUGGGUUUGCACCCUACAUAACCUUGCAUCCUCACACCUCACAUACCCUUGAACCCUUGCACCUUGCAGACCAUUUAGCCCUCACACUUUUGUAUCCAAGUUUUGGGGAUUUAUUAUGGUGCUCAUACUCACAUCCCGAGCACCCCUUGACCUGGACAUGCACAUACCUUGCUAUUGGAAUAUUUCCUCAAUAUUAGCUUUAAGAGUAUAAAUGCGAAUAAUGUUCUAGAAG
This is an RNA transcript of Cryptomeria japonica (Japanese cedar), 5342 nucleotides long. RefSeq lists it as uncharacterized. The record is from RefSeq and is a predicted model, not a curated record. The transcript has 3 exons. NCBI's taxonomy places the organism in Eukaryota, Viridiplantae, Streptophyta, Pinopsida, Cupressales, Cupressaceae.